Zonotrichia albicollis (white-throated sparrow) is the source of this 1637-nucleotide long non-coding RNA. The record is from Ensembl. Lineage: Eukaryota; Metazoa; Chordata; Aves; Passeriformes; Passerellidae.
UGCUCUCUUUUGCAAUACUGUCCCAUCUCAGCACAAGGCUGAAUUUAUUGCUGUAAUAGCUGCAAUUCAGACAAAGCAUUAUCAUUUCCCAGAGUUGGUUUUUGGUUUUUUUUUUCUUGUUUUUCACAAAAAGUGAAGUUUUAGCCAGGACACUAUAACAAAAAUUUCAGUUAGGUAAUAAAAUUCUGCUUAUUAAAAAUUUCCCUUUUAAAAUCUGUCCUAACUACUUUUCCUUUGAGCACUUUUAAAGGCAUAAUUCACUUUAAAUUCACAGCUUUCCAAAUUCUGAAGCCGGCUGAAAUUUUCCUGGACUGCCUAAACCAGAAUGUGCAGUUCCAGCUAAGAUAUCUAAAGGCACAAAGAGCUGAGGAAGGCUGGCAUGCCGAGGAGGGGAGAGGCCAGGAUUGUCACCCAGAGCUCCCAGAGCAGGUGUGCCUGGGCAGCUCUGGGCUCCCACACUGCAGCCAAGGCUUUCAAGAGGGGUGGCACAAUUCAAGAGAGGAUACUGAUGAAAUCACACUCAAACCUGAGUCUGAACAAGUCAGCAGAGCGCAGCUUUUGGGAGGAUUUCCUACCAUGGCUCCUCUUCCUCAGGCUACCAAGCCACUGCCCAGGCUUGCCCAUGUCCAGUGGUCUCUGUUUGGGUCAUCCCAGCUCUGCUCCCUCUGCUCUGCCCUUUCUGCACCUCUGGAUUUCCAGAGAGCAAAUUUCUUGAUCCAGUUUCAGCCCAGGCACUUGCCUCCUUUGGAGCCUCUACCAAACCACACUGCUCUGGGGAAGGAGUCACCUUCAUCCAUCACAUUCCCAAAGUUCACUGACAAAAAUAAUCAGCACCAGACAAAUGAGGAUAACAUCCACAUUGUUACUGGGAUAUGAAAGUCAACACAACCUGAUACAAAAUGGGGAUGAUAAUGAAAGACCAGGUGACAUUUCAAGCUGACAUUUCAGGCCAGCAUUUUAGUGAUGUUUAUAAAAAUAUUAGCUUAACAAUAUGUUGAAAAAGGAUUUUGCAGAAUUGGGCCCGAGUCUGGGACUGUUUAUAGUGGAUUUAGCCAAGUAUAUCUCACCUUAGUUUCUAGACUAAAUCAUCAGAGAUGAGUUCCUGGACAAUGUUUCUCAGACUGUGUUUUACAGCUCUUUAGUGGUCAUAAAUGAGUCCCAAAAACCACACUGCCUUAGACUUACUGGGAUCAGCUCUGUCCUCCAACACUGGCCUCAGCAAUUUCAAUUAGCUCUCCUCCCUGUGCCUCAGCUGAGCAGAGCUGCUGCCAGGAAUGAAAAGUGCAGGUGCUGCAAGGGUUAUGAGAGUGGGAAGAAGGGAGAGGAAAAGGGAGUUGUGAUAAGAGACUGGAGUCCUGCAUUCCUAUUCAAGAAAUACUGCUGCAAAGAAAUGAAAAUACUUUAGUUUUUGCUGCAUUAGUGCAAGGAUUAAUUGAAAGUGUCCGAGUUACAGCAGCUAUUACACUGCAAGAAAGCAGAAUAACACUGGAACCCAAGGUCAGAAACGAAACAGAACAAUAUCUUGCACUCAGCCAUUGCACUGAACCACCAUGGAACAAACCAGGCUGCCCUACUUCAGCUACAGGAAAAUUCUGACCAUGUGGUUUAACCCCAAAUAAACACCACAAAGCUGCCCA